UGGACAGAAAAUUAACAAAGAAAAACCGCACCAGGGGCAAUUUUGUCAUCUGUCGCGACGGUGUCGAAAUUCGUCGAAAUUUGGUAGGUUGAUUGGAAACGGCCCGCGAAAUUGAACUCGGUGCACAAACCCGGGAUCACAGAAUUUUGGCCCAAUUCCUUCGUUUCGAGCUCCUAAUAAUUAAUUUCCGUAUUAAUUAUGUCAGGUUGAAGAAGUGCUGGACAGAAAAUUAAGAAAGAAAA
Molecule: long non-coding RNA, 242 nt
Filed under: Olea europaea (common olive)
Lineage: Eukaryota; Viridiplantae; Streptophyta; Magnoliopsida; Lamiales; Oleaceae
Description: long non-coding RNA (OEUR_LNC008649)
Source: RNAcentral